RNAcentral lists this ribosomal RNA (450 nucleotides) under uncultured bacterium. RNAcentral describes it as "partial 16S ribosomal RNA". It matches the Rfam family "Bacterial small subunit ribosomal RNA", at positions 354 to 796 of the family's 1533-position model. The record is from RNAcentral.
GUGGGGAAUAUUGGACAAUGGGCGAAAGCCUGAUCCAGCCAUGCCGCGUGUGUGAAGAAGGUCUUCGGAUUGUAAAGCACUUUAAGUUGGGAGGAAGGGCAGUAAGUUAAUACCUUGCUGUUUUGACGUUACCGACAGAAUAAGCACCGGCUAACUUCGUGCCAGCAGCCGCGGUAAUACGACGGGUGCAAGCGUUAAUCGGAAUUACUGGGCGUAAAGCGCGCGUAGGGGGUUUUGUAAGUUGGAGGUGAAAUCCCCGGGCUCAACCUGGGAACUGCCUCUAAAACUGGAUGACUAGAGUACGGUAGAGGGUAGUGGAAUUUCCUGUGUAGCGGUGAAAUGCGUAGAUAUAGGAAGGAACACCAGUGGCGAAGGCGACUACCUGGACUGAUACUGACACUGAGGUGCGAAAGCGUGGGGAGCAAACAGGAUUAGAAACCCGAGUAGUCC